Molecule: ribosomal RNA, 199 nt
Filed under: uncultured bacterium
Lineage: Bacteria
Description: partial 16S ribosomal RNA
Rfam family: Bacterial small subunit ribosomal RNA
Source: RNAcentral
ACGCUCGACACCUACGGGAAGCAGCAGUGGGGAAUAUUGCACAAUGGGGGGAAACCCUGAUGCAGCGACGCCGCGUGGAGGAAGAAGGUCUUCGGAUUGUAAACUCCUGUUGUUGGGGAAAAAGAGGAUGGUACCCAACAAGGAAGUGACGGCUAACUACGUGUCAGCAGCCGCGGUAAUCUGAGCGGGCUGGCAAGGC